GAUGAACGCUAGCGGCAGGCUUAGUACAUGCAAGUCGUGGGGCAGCAUGAGUAGCAAUACUUGAUGGCGACCGGCAAACGGGUGAGGAACACGUACACAACCUUCCUUCAAGCGGGGAAUAGCCCAGAGAAAUUUGGAUUAAUACCCCAUAAUAUAUUUGAUAAGGCAUCUUAUUAAUAUUAAAGCUUCGGCACUUGAUGAUGGGUGUGCGGCUGAUUAGAUAGUUGGCGGGGUAACGGCCCACCAAGUCUACGAUCAGUAGCUGAUGUGAGAGCAUGAUCAGCCACACGGGCACUGAGACACGGGCCCGACUCCUACGGGAGGCAGCAGUAAGGAAUAUUGGACAAUGGACGAAAGUCUGAUCCAGCCAUGCCGCGUGAAGGAUUAAGGUCCUCUGGAUUGUAAACUUCUUUUAUAUGGGACGAAAAAGGGCAUUCUUGUUCACUUGACGGUACCAUAUGAAUAAGCACCGGCUAACU
This 479-nucleotide ribosomal RNA is filed under the name uncultured bacterium. RNAcentral's name for it is "bacterial SSU rRNA". It matches the Rfam family "Bacterial small subunit ribosomal RNA", at positions 28 to 502 of the family's 1533-position model. The record is from RNAcentral.